RNAcentral lists this ribosomal RNA (253 nucleotides) under uncultured bacterium. RNAcentral's name for it is "partial 16S ribosomal RNA". It matches the Rfam family "Bacterial small subunit ribosomal RNA", at positions 524 to 776 of the family's 1533-position model. The record is from RNAcentral.
GACAGAGGCCUCGAGCGUUAGGCGGAAUCACUGGGCUUAAAGCGUGUGUAGGCGGGCCCGUAAGUGUCUUGUGAAAUCCCACGGCUCAAACGUGGAACUGCUGGGCAUACUGCGGGUCUUGGGCCAACUAGGGGCAGCCGGAACAAGCGGUGGAGCGGUGAAAUGCGUAGAUAUCAGUUGGAACGCCAAUGGUGAAAACAGCUCGCUGGGGGUUUGCUGACGCUGAGACACGAAAGCCAGGGGAGCAAACGGG